UGGGUGUUUCUGCGAGCCCGGUAGCCCGAGACAAUGCUCUCAUCACUUUUCUCUUAACGCGAUGAAGAAACCCUAAUAGCCGUAUGGGAUUGACGAUUCAUGAUCCUGUUCAUCUUCCUUUUCCUUCUGUUUGCGAACCAAUCGUCCGUGUAAUCAAUUUUUCCCCCACGCCUUCGCACUCUUUAGUCCCUCAUUAACCCCAUUAAUGGAAUCCUUUGGCUUCCUCCUUCGGAUCCUUUAUAAAACCUCCCAUUCACGAAAUUGGAUUUACAUCCAAAUUGCUUUAACUCUCUCCAUAAUUCUCUUUUCAUAACACUAAUAUUUCUACUCUUUAGCUCCUCUGGCAACAACAAAUGCCAGUCCAGAUGGUUUUCAUGGACUCCAGAGAUUAUAUGAACCAGAAAGUUCGGAGCUUAGUGGCUGAGUAUUCGAAGUUUUUGUACGCCAUUCCGAUGACCAAUAUAAGAGUAUUCUGUGAGGACACAUGUAUUGCCUCAAAAGAUGUCAUGUCCUCUGAUCUUCUAAAAAAGAAGCUAUGUUAAGAUUAGAUACACUCGGAAAGUCUAACGAAGAGGUAAAUAAAUCUAUACAGUGCAAAAGGAAAAGUAGAGAUUUGACUUUGUUGAACAACAAUGAAAAUUUUAUGUUAUUCAAAGCACUUUGUUAAUUUGAUUAAGAUUAACUACGGGAAUGGUCCUAUCUCCCACUCGGUGGUUAUUUUGCCUCACACCGAACAAAGGAAUCUCUCCUUUGGUGUUGCAGCUAGCAUGGUACAAACCGCAACAGGUAGUAAGAGCAACCCUUAAUUUAUGGAGUUGCUGAUCAGAGUUUAACAGUUUCUUUUUCGCACAACUCUGUUCUUACUGUGAUCGACCACAUCCGCCUCUCUAUUGACAUUGACGCAGACAGAGACAGGUUCAGGCUCCACACACACAUGACAACUUCCAAGCUGGCUGUGGUCUGGUCUCAGGGGUGACCUCUACGAUGUUGUCGGCCACUUGAGACUGGUAAAUAGACAGUCUCUAAUUGACUUUCCUGUCCUUGACGAAACGGAGAUAGCAACCACACGUCGUUUUUUAGUUCAUUUGCAAUCAAAAGGUGGUCCUUUAAUGAAGAUGUACCUUUGGCACCAGGCUUCAAAAGACUUCUACAAAACAGUGAAAAACUCCCACCAUGUUUUUAGUAACGACGGUGAACCCAAAACGUCAUGCAGUUUAUCAAGAACGAGGAAUUUAGUUCUCAGUUCAAUGUCAUUCUCACGUGUCUUCAUAGACAAAGAUGUCCAGCCCACGAUUGAUUACUUCAACUGGUUAGCAAUUGUAGAGUUCUAACACAAAGAUUGCUAAGCUGGUUACUGCAGAUGAGGUUACCGGAGCUGAGAUAAUGACAAUUGGGAAAAUCUUUGCUUACAUCAAGCAUGAUUGCCAAGGUUAAAUAAAAGCGUAAGAUAGCUCUGUUAAAACAGAGGCAUAUCCAUGUAGAUCACUAGCUUUUUAUCUACUGCAGGAAGCUUUUGAGCGUGACACUGCAUGGUAUUAUUAUUCCUCCAUCGAUUGUCAAACUAAGACCACCAGAGGCCCUUCUUCGUUGAUGUGAACCAAGUGUGGCAACGCAACACAAACAUUGCUGGUGUAGCAAAGACGUGAGUGGACAUGGAAGCAUGCCUCGGAGUUGGUUGACAACUACUUUGAGGCUAAUCGAGAAAUUGGUUCUUACCAUGAGAUGCCUGCCCCCAAAUUUUAAUCGACACCAAUGCCCAAACACAUAAGUUCAGGGUCAAGGUGUCUGACUACAACUCCACAGACAAGACUUCCCGCUAUAACUGUUACUAAGAUUGUCUCACCAGGAGUUCUUCCACCUGUAACAACUCCAACUGAAAUCCCACUUGAUGCAAAGAAUGAAGUUGUUGUGCUCUCUGUGUCGUUGCUGGCUCUGGAUUCAAUACUGAUGAGCAAAAUGAAAGUAUCAGUAACAGGGAUGAAUCACGGAAGGAUUGUGUCAUUGUCUUCUUUAUUUUCUUCGAGCCAAGACUAUGUUUUCUCUGUUUUAUUUUUGACUUUCGAUCUUGCUUUGGUUUAAUAUUUGCAAACAGUAUUCUUCUUUCUUUAGACUUUGAUUUAUUAGAAUACACACAUAAUGAUUUCCAGCUUA
Long non-coding RNA from Raphanus sativus (radish), 2151 nucleotides. RefSeq lists it as uncharacterized. The record is from RefSeq and is a predicted model, not a curated record. The transcript is spliced from 9 exons. Lineage: Eukaryota; Viridiplantae; Streptophyta; Magnoliopsida; Brassicales; Brassicaceae.